Molecule: long non-coding RNA, 233 nt
Organism: Hyaena hyaena (striped hyena)
Lineage: Eukaryota; Metazoa; Chordata; Mammalia; Carnivora; Hyaenidae
Exons: 2
Source: RefSeq, a predicted model, not a curated record
CCUUCUUUCAAGACUCAAAAUGUUGUUGUAACAUUUUAGUGAUUUAACGUUUAACGCUCAUCGGGACCCGCUAAUCUGAAGACGAGCCUCUCCCAGCCUGACCGGAAGUGACCCCCAGUUAUAGGGAAAAGGGAUUUGGAAACUACAAUCUCGUGCCCAACUAACAGAUUCCUCAGAACAAAUAAAGUCAAUCUCAGACAUGUGAGAUCCUAGAUCAUCUGCCUUUUCCACUU